RNAcentral lists this ribosomal RNA (489 nucleotides) under uncultured soil bacterium. RNAcentral's name for it is "bacterial SSU rRNA". It matches the Rfam family "Bacterial small subunit ribosomal RNA", at positions 26 to 518 of the family's 1533-position model. The record is from RNAcentral.
AGAUUGAACGCUGGCGGCAUGCCUAACACAUGCAAGUCGAACGGGAGUAGCAAUACUCUAGUGGCGGACGGGUGAGGAAUACGUAGGAAUUUGCCCUUAAGUGGGGGAUAACCCGGGGAAACCCGGAUUAAUACCGCAUGACCUCGAAAGAGCAAAGUGGGGGAUCGCAAGACCUCACGCUUUUGGAGAAGCCUACGUCGGAUUAGCUAGUUGGUGAGGUAAUGGCUCACCAAGGCGACGAUCCGUAACUGGUCUGAGAGGAUGAUCAGUCACACCGGAACUGAGACACGGUCCGGACUCCUACGGGAGGCAGCAGUGGGGAAUAUUGGACAAUGGGCGCAAGCCUGAUCCAGCAAUGCCGCGUGUGUGAAGAAGGCCUUCGGUUGUAAAGCACUUUAAGUUAGGGAAGAAAAACGUCGCUCUAACACAGUGAGUCUUGACGGUACCGACAGAAUAAGCAACCGGCUAACGUCUAGUGCCAGCAGCCGC